Molecule: ribosomal RNA, 228 nt
Filed under: Lactobacillus porci
Lineage: Bacteria; Bacillati; Bacillota; Bacilli; Lactobacillales; Lactobacillaceae
Description: partial 16S ribosomal RNA
Rfam family: Bacterial small subunit ribosomal RNA
Source: RNAcentral
GCCUGCACGAAGCUGGAAUCGCUAGUAAUCGUGGAUCAGCACGCCACGGUGAAUACGUUCCCGGGCCUUGUACACACCGCCCGUCACACCAUGGAAGUCUGCAAUGCCCGAAGUCGGUGGGAUAACCUUAACGGAAUCAGCCGCCUAAGGCAGGGCAGAUGACUGGGGUGAAGUCGUAACAAGGUAGCCGUAGGAGAACCUGCGGCUGGAUCACCUCCUUUCUAAGGA